UACGUAGGGUGCGAGCGUUAAUCGGAAUAACUGGGCGUAAAGCGUGCGCAGGCGGCUUUGCAAGACAGAUGUGAAAUCCCCGGGCUCAACCUGGGAACUGCAUUUGUGACUGCAAGGCUAGAGUACGGCAGAGGGGGAUGGAAUUCCGCGUGUAGCAGUGAAAUGCGUAGAUAUGCGGAGGAACACCAAUGGCGAAGGCAAUCCCCUGGGCCUGUACUGACGCUCAUGCACGAAAGCGUGGGGAGCAAACAGG
Molecule: ribosomal RNA, 253 nt
Filed under: uncultured bacterium
Lineage: Bacteria
Description: partial 16S ribosomal RNA
Rfam family: Bacterial small subunit ribosomal RNA
Source: RNAcentral